CCGACGGUGAGGGGUGAAGGCUGGGGGCGCAAACCGGAUUAGAUACCCGGGUAGUCCCAGCAGUAAACGAUGCCAGCUAUGUGUUGCUGGAACCAUGGGUUCCAGCAGUGCCGAAGGGAAGCCGUGAAGCUGGCCACCUGGGAAGUACGGUCGCAAGGCUGAAACUUAAAGGAAUUGGCGGGGGAGUACCACAACCGGUGGAGCCUGCGGUUUAAUUGGAUACAACGCCGGGAAUCUUACCGGAGGGGACAGCAGUAUGAAGGCCAGGCUAAAGACCUUGCCAGAUCAGCUGAGAGGAGGUGCAUGGCCGUCGCCAGUUCGUACCGUGAGGCAUCCUGUUUAGUCAGGCAACGAUCGAGACCCGCAGUCUUAUUUGCCAGCAUGCCCUUUGGGGUGUAUGGGUACAAUAAGACGACCGCCAGCGCUAAGCUGGAGGAAGGAGCGGGCUACGGUAGGUCAGCAUGCCCCGAAUCCUCCGGGAUACACGCGGGCUACAAUGGUCAGGACAAAAGGUACCGACCUCGAAAGAGUGAGGUAAUCCACAAACCUGAUCUCAGUCCGGAUCGAAGGCUGCAACUCGCCUUCGUGAAGAUGGAAUCGGUAGUAAUCGUGACUCAAAAUGUCACGGUGAAUAUGUCCCUGCUCCUUGCACA
Molecule: ribosomal RNA, 653 nt
Filed under: uncultured archaeon
Lineage: Archaea
Description: bacterial SSU rRNA
Rfam family: Archaeal small subunit ribosomal RNA
Source: RNAcentral